AGCAGCCGCGGUAAUUCCAGCUCCAAUAGCGUAUAUUAAAGUUGCUGCAGUUAAAAAGCUCGUAGUUGAAUUUCGGGACUGAUAUGUCGGUCGUGCCUCGGUACGUACUGGUAUUUUUGGUUUCUCCCUUCUGACGAACCUUGAUGUCAUUAAUUUGGUGUCUUGGGAAAUCAGGACUGUUACUUUGAAAAAAUUAGAGUGUUUAAAGCAGGCUCACGCUUGAAUACAUUAGCAUGGAAUAAUGAAAUAGGACGUUUGAUUCUAUUUUGUUGGUUUCUAGGAUCGACGUAAUGAUUAAUAGGGAUAGUUGGGGGCAUUAGUAUUCAAUUGUCAGAGGUGAAAUUCUUGGAUUUAUUGAAGACUAACUACUGCGAAAGCAUUUGCCAAGGAUGUUUUCAUUAAUCAAGAACGAAAGUUAGGGGAUCGAAGACGAUCAGAUACCGUCGUAGUCUUAACCAUAAACUAUGCCGACUAGGGAUCGGAUGAUGUUAAUUUAAUGACUCA
RNAcentral lists this ribosomal RNA (504 nucleotides) under uncultured Glomus. RNAcentral's name for it is "SSU rRNA". It matches the Rfam family "Eukaryotic small subunit ribosomal RNA", at positions 569 to 1078 of the family's 1831-position model. The record is from RNAcentral. Lineage: Eukaryota; Fungi; Glomeromycota; Glomeromycetes; Glomerales; Glomeraceae.